This 421-nucleotide ribosomal RNA is filed under the name uncultured Glomeromycotina. RNAcentral describes it as "SSU rRNA". It matches the Rfam family "Eukaryotic small subunit ribosomal RNA", at positions 673 to 1092 of the family's 1831-position model. Lineage: Eukaryota; Fungi; Glomeromycota. The record is from RNAcentral.
GGUAUGACUGGUUUUACUGAUUCCUCCCUCUUGAAGAACUGUAAUGCCAUUAAUCUGGUGUUGCAGGGAAUCAGGACUGUUACUUUGAAAAAAUUAGAGUGUUUAAAGCAGGCUUUAGCUUGAAUACAUUAGCAUGGAAUAAUGAAAUAGGACGUUUGAUCCUAUUUUGUUGGUUUCUAGGAUUGACGUAAUGAUUAAUAGGGAUAGUUGGGGGCAUUAGUAUUCAAUUGUCAGAGGUGAAAUUCUUGGAUUUAUUGAAGACUAACUACUGCGAAAGCAUUUGCCAAGGAUGUUUUCAUUAAUCAAGAACGAAAGUUAGGGGAUCGAAGACGAUCAGAUACCGUCGUAGUCUUAACCAUAAACUAUGCCGACUAGGGAUCGGAUGAUGUUAAUUUUUUAAUGACUCAUUCGGCGCCUUACG